AACAAAGCGGAAAAGGGCACACGGUGGAUGCCUUGGCAUGCAGAGGCGAUGAAGGACGUGUAAAGCUGCGAUAAGCUACGGGGAACUGCAAAAAAGUGUAGAUCCGUAGAUUUCCGAAUGGGGCAAC
Molecule: ribosomal RNA, 127 nt
Filed under: Balneola sp.
Lineage: Bacteria; Pseudomonadati; Balneolota; Balneolia; Balneolales; Balneolaceae
Description: partial 23S ribosomal RNA
Rfam family: Bacterial large subunit ribosomal RNA
Source: RNAcentral